This is a long non-coding RNA of Oncorhynchus keta (chum salmon), 551 nucleotides long. RefSeq lists it as uncharacterized. Lineage: Eukaryota; Metazoa; Chordata; Actinopteri; Salmoniformes; Salmonidae. The transcript is spliced from 3 exons. The record is from RefSeq and is a predicted model, not a curated record.
UAAAACCCUUGAAUGAGUAGGUGCUCUAAAACCCUUGAAUGAGUAGGUGUUCUAAAACCCUUGAAUGAGUAGGUGUUCUAAAACCCUUGAAUGAGUAGGUGUUCUAAAACCCUUGAAUGAGUAGGUGUUCUAAAACCCUUGAAUGAGUAGGUGUUCUAAAACCCUUGAAUGAGUAGGUGUUCUAAAACCCUUGAAUUAGUAGGUGUUCUAAAACCCUUGAAUGAGUAGGUGUUCUAAAACCCUUGAAUGAGUAGGUGUUCUAAAACCCUUGAAUGAGUAGGUGUUCUAAAACCCUUGAAUGAGUAGGUGUUCUAAAACCCUUGAAUGAGUAGGUGUUCUAAAACCCUUGAAUGAGUAGGUGUUCUAAAACCCUUGAAUGAGUAGGUGUUCUAAAACCCUUGAAUGAGUAGGUGUUCUAAAACCCUUGAAUGAGUAGGUGUUCUAAAACCCUUGAAUGAGUAGGUGUUCUAAAACCCUUGAAUGAGUAGGUGCUCUAAAACCCUUGAAUGAGGAGGUGUGUCCAAACUUUUGACUGGUACUGUGUGUACACU